Molecule: ribosomal RNA, 616 nt
Filed under: Pantoea stewartii
Lineage: Bacteria; Pseudomonadati; Pseudomonadota; Gammaproteobacteria; Enterobacterales; Erwiniaceae
Description: bacterial SSU rRNA
Rfam family: Bacterial small subunit ribosomal RNA
Source: RNAcentral
UCGGACGGUAGCACAGAGGAGCUUGCUCCUCGGGUGACGAGUGGCGGACGGGUGAGUAAUGUCUGGGAAACUGCCCGAUGGAGGGGGAUAACUACUGGAAACGGUAGCUAAUACCGCAUAACGUCGCAAGACCAAAGUGGGGGACCUUCGGGCCUCACACCAUCGGAUGUGCCCAGAUGGGAUUAGCUUGUAGGCGGGGUAACGGCCCACCUAGGCGACGAUCCCUAGCUGGUCUGAGAGGAUGACCAGCCACACUGGAACUGAGACACGGUCCAGACUCCUACGGGAGGCAGCAGUGGGGAAUAUUGCACAAUGGGCGCAAGCCUGAUGCAGCCAUGCCGCGUGUAUGANGAAGGCCUUCGGGUUGUAAAGUACUUUCAGCGGGGAGGAAGGUGUUGAGGUUAAUAACCUCAGCNAUUGACGUUACCCGCAGAAGAAGCACCGGCUAACUCCGUGCCAGCAGCCGCGGUAAUACGGAGGGUGCAAGCGUUAAUCGGAAUUACUGGGCGUANAGCGCACGCAGGCGGUCUGUUAAGUCAGAUGUGAAAUCCCCGGGCUUAACCUGGGAACUGCAUUUGAAACUGGCAGGCUUGAGUCUCGUAGAGGGGGGUAGAAU